UUUAAUAUGGCAGAUUAGUGCAAUGAAUUUAAACUUCAUAAAUAAAAUUUAAAUAAUUUUUAUUAAAA
This 68-nucleotide transfer RNA is filed under the name Figites sp. ZJUH 20220009. Its description in RNAcentral is "tRNA-Leu". The record is from RNAcentral. Lineage: Eukaryota; Metazoa; Arthropoda; Insecta; Hymenoptera; Figitidae.